Long non-coding RNA from Strigops habroptila (Kakapo), 1827 nucleotides. The record is from Ensembl. NCBI's taxonomy places the organism in Eukaryota, Metazoa, Chordata, Aves, Psittaciformes, Psittacidae.
UUUGUGGCACAUAUUCUGUUUAAUCCAGAUUGGAUACAUCAGGUACAGCAGUGGCACAAGACUCAAUACUGUAAAUGAUAUACAAGUUUCAACAUAUGCACUACAAUUCCAAAAGAAGACAACAGGAAACUUGGUUCUUCUAGAAAGUUGUUCUCAAAUGAAGCUACCUGCAGUUGUAUACAGUACAUUUUGUAUCUGUCCUCUGAUGUUUGUAAGCAAAGCCCAUUUAUAGUACGAAAAUAGAAAAUAAUAAGGUCGAGAGCUUCUCCUAACAUAAAACUUCUAAAGAAAACACCAUUGCAUUGGAAUGCCUCACUGAUUUAUCAAAAAUAGACCAUCACACAUGUUUUGUAAGAUACUUCAUUGGUCCGAGGAGCCAGUGGAGAGGUCCAGAGGAGCUCCCACCCAUAGUUGCAACAGAACAGAGAAGAGCAUUUGGUGUGGUUGGUUAACUUCUCACCCAGACAGCUGUGUGACUUCUGUGACUAGCACUAGUUUAAACCAGAAUGAAAAGAAACACGUGCACACAUAUACACACAGAGUAACAGACUACUGACUGAGAGGGAAACUCGAGAAGGAAUUUUCACAAGCUCUUUGUCACCUGCUCUUUCGACUGUUCCACCUGAAGUUUUUCUGGCACACUUUUGCACUCUGAAUGUGAGUAGCAGUACUUUUCUGGUAUGCUUUCCCCAGAAUUCUCUGGUGUUUUGUAGGUGUUCAUGAAUUGAGCUUCACUUACUGAAGGAGGAGGUAUCAAACUCUCUACAGCUUGGGUAAUUGGCAGAGAGGUGAAAUGACUUCUUCGAGGUCACUUAGUGAUUCAUCAAGACAGGAGUAGAACACAGGUUGCUAGAACACAGAUGCCAACUCCUAGCUCUAAUCAAUAUGCACGCUGCCUUCUGUUGGCUCUUAAAAAGUUUUAGAAAGAUGAAACCUUUAUGAAGAGUGUUUCUGGUAUCAUUAAAUGUGAAGCCUAAAAACUCGAGCUCUGAAGUCAUGUAUGUAGCGCAGUUGUUUAAAGUGUUGGAGAAAAAUAUGUGAUUUUUUAAAAUCAACUAAGAUACAUUUGAUUGGUAAAUUAUAUGGAAAAGGUGUAUUAAUCACCUCUACCAUUUACUUUAAAAGCAGAAUAAAGUCUUCAGUUCAAAGCUGCUGAUAUUCACAAGCCAUCCAUGAAUGCUGACUUUGUAACUCUGCCAUAGACAAAAUAUUACAGGAUCCAAGGGAUGGUGCAACCCAUAAAUAAAAGGUGAUUUUUAAUUCACUGAAUUUGCUGUACAAUACAUGUAAGAUACAACAUGUUUACAACCUCUUUACUUAAAAAAGCAAACUAUUUGAAGAAACAUUGCUUGCUUUAGCUGGGAUUAAUCCAAUUUUUCAUGCACACACCUGAAGCUGUCUACACUAGAAUGAGAAAUGCUGGUUUGCAGUUUGUAUUAUCAACUGUUUCAGGUUAAACAAGCAGCAUUGAUUCAAAUUUGGUAUUUCUGGCCAACUGUAAAGAAGGAUGUAUUUUGAAUUCCCUGUUAGCUUUAUUCCAUGCUAAAGCUGUGUGUUACUUGGUUCACCUUUUCCCUAGUUCCUUUUAACAAUGAUAAUCAUUUGGCAGACAAAAGUAGUCUCCGGGAUAAGAAUUUCCUGUAGAAAGUUUUAUAUCCCUCUUCUGUUGGUAGGCAGCUAAUUUACAAUCUGCUGAGGAUGUACAAUGGGAGCAAGAGAGGAAAAAUAAGGAAGGAAUUAUGACUGAACAGCAGGGGAAAAAGCCUUGGCAUUGAGAUCUAUCAGCCUGGAAUAAGCUCUCCAGGGAAGCAGUUGAAUUCCUUUCCU